GAUGAACGCUAGCUACAGGCUUAACACAUGCAAGUCGAGGGGUAGCACGGAGGAAGCUUGCUUCCUUGGGUGACGACCGGCGCACGGGUGAGUAACGCGUAUCCGACCUACCCAUAACUCGGGCACAGCCGCUCGAAAGAGUGAUUGAUUCCCGAUAUGUCAUUGGAGUAGAUUCAAUGAUGAAAGAUUCAUCGGUUAUGGAUGGGGAUGCGUAAGAUUAGGUAGUAGGCGGGGUAACGGCCCACCUAGCCGACGAUCUUUAGGGGUUCUGAGAGGAAGGUCCCCCCACACUGGUACUGAGACACGGACCAGACUCCUACGGGAGGCAGCAGUGAGGAAUAUUGGUCAAUGGGCGGAAGCCUGAACCAGCCAAGUAGCGUGAAGGAUUACAGCCCUACGGGUUUUAAACUUCUUUUAUAUAGAGUAAUGUGCACUACGUGUAGUGUAUUGCAAGUAUUAUAUGAAUAAGCAAUCGGCUAACUCCGUGCCAGCAGCCGACGG
RNAcentral lists this ribosomal RNA (501 nucleotides) under uncultured bacterium. RNAcentral's name for it is "bacterial SSU rRNA". It matches the Rfam family "Bacterial small subunit ribosomal RNA", at positions 28 to 520 of the family's 1533-position model. The record is from RNAcentral.